Molecule: ribosomal RNA, 442 nt
Filed under: uncultured bacterium
Lineage: Bacteria
Description: partial 16S ribosomal RNA
Rfam family: Bacterial small subunit ribosomal RNA
Source: RNAcentral
CCUACGGGGGGCAGCAGUGGGGAAUAUUGGGCAAUGGGCGAAAGCCUGACCCAGCAACGCCGCGUGAAGGAAGAAGGCUUUCGGGUUGUAAACUUCUUUUGACAGGGAAGAGCAGAAGACGGUACCUGUCGAAUAAGCCACGGCUAACUCCGUGCCAGCAGCCGCGGUAAUACGUAGGUGGCAAGCGUUGUCCGGAUUUACUGGGUGGAAAGGGCGGGUAGCCGGGCUGACCAGUCAGAUGGGAAAUCCGGGGGCUCAACCGCAGAACUGCAUUUGAAACUGUUGAUCUUGAGUACUGGAGAGGCAGACGGAAUUCCUAGUGUAGCGGUGAAAUGCGUAGAUAUUAGGAGGAACACCAGUGGCGAAGGCGGUCUGCUGGACAGCAACUGACGGUGAGGCGCGAAAGCGUGGGGAGCAAACAGGAUUAGAUACCCUUGUAGUC